AACGAACGCUGGCGGCGCGUCUUAAGCAUGCAAGUCGAGCGGCAAGCGGUAGCAAUAUCGCCUAGAGCGGCGGACUGGUGAGUAACACGUGGGUGAUCUGCCUCUGGGAUGGGGAUAGCCUGUGGAAACACAGGAUAAUACCACAUACGUUGGCUGGGCUGCGGCCCAGUCAGGAAAGGUCCGUUUGGACCGCCCGGAGCUGAGCCCGCGGCUGAUUAGCUAGUUGGCGGGGUAAUGGCCCACCAAGGCGAUGAUCAGUAGGCGGCCUGAGAGGGUGUACGCCCACAUUGGGACUGAGAUACGGCCCAAACUCCUGCGGGAGGCAGCAGCUAAGAAUAUUCCGCAAUGGACGAAAGUCUGACGGAGCGACGCCGCGUGGAUGACGAAGGCCGAAAGGUUGUAAAAUCCUUUUGCUGGUGAAGAAUAAGCAUGGGAGGAAAUGCCCGUGUGAUGACAUGAACCGGUGAAUAAGCCCCGGCAAACUACGUGCCAGCAGCCGCCGCCG
This 505-nucleotide ribosomal RNA is filed under the name uncultured bacterium. RNAcentral's name for it is "partial 16S ribosomal RNA". It matches the Rfam family "Bacterial small subunit ribosomal RNA", at positions 29 to 523 of the family's 1533-position model. The record is from RNAcentral.